Molecule: ribosomal RNA, 368 nt
Filed under: uncultured Glomeromycotina
Lineage: Eukaryota; Fungi; Glomeromycota
Description: eukaryotic LSU rRNA
Source: RNAcentral
UUGAAAGGGAAACGAUUGAAGUCAGUCGUGCUGGCGCGAAAUCAACCCUCUCGUCGAGAGGUCACAUGGCGUGGCGAGCCUCAAAACCGUCACGAAGCGUGAACUCUUGGCGAAAAGGAGCACUUUUGUGUCCGCUGGUUAACAUCAAUUUCGAACGUCAUAAAAAGGCUGGAGGGAUGUGGCUCCUUCGGGAGUGUUAUAACCCUUGGCGGAAUGUGACGAUUGGGAUUGAGGUUUGCAACGAAUACCUUUAGGGCAGUUCCUUCUGGUCUCUUGUUGACGUUCAGAUGGCGACAGCUUGCUGACGUUGUUUGAAUAGUUGGCGAAUAGAUUGGAAUGUGAAUUAAUUCGUUAAGGAUGUUGACGUA